GUCCUGCUGGGAGGCGGGCUCUGGCUCUCGCUGGCGUCGGGAGGCCGGCUGUGAAGGACGGGUUCCGCCAGUGCAUGGCC
This 80-nucleotide transfer RNA is filed under the name Sphingomonas molluscorum. RNAcentral's name for it is "tRNA-Ala". The record is from RNAcentral. Lineage: Bacteria; Pseudomonadati; Pseudomonadota; Alphaproteobacteria; Sphingomonadales; Sphingomonadaceae.